AUGCAAAGAACUUUGAAAAGAGAGUUAAAGAGUACCUGAAACUGCUGAAACGGAAGCGAAGGAAACCAGUGUUUGUUUGUUCAUAUUUCCCUGGCCACUUGUGGUUUGGGCGCUGUGAGCUUGCGUGAGUUUGGGUUGGUUGAUCCCUUUGGAAGAGCGCAGUCAGAGUUGAUGUCUGUUGCUAGCACUGGGUUUGACUGAUGCAGACGAAAUGGUUUUCUUUACCCCGUCUUGAAACACGGACCAAGGAGUCUAACAUAUGUGCGAGUACAGGGGUGUCAAACCCCGGUGCGUAAUGAAAGUGACAGUGGUUGGAAUUUUGCACAAUCCGCCGGCCUCAAUCCUUCGGGAGAACGGUCUGAGUGUGAGCAUACAUGUUGGGACCCGAAAGAUGGUGAACUAUGCCUGAAUAGGGUGAAGCCAGGGGAAACUCUGGUGGAGGCUCGUAGCGAUUCUGACGUGCAAAUCGAUCGUCAAAUUUGGGUAUAGGGGCGAAAGACUAAUCGAACCAUCUAGUAGCUGGUUCCCUCCGAAAUUUCCCUCAGGAUAGCUGCAAUCGAUUUCAAUUUUAUCA
This 574-nucleotide ribosomal RNA is filed under the name Pseudo-nitzschia sp. Its description in RNAcentral is "LSU rRNA". It matches the Rfam family "Eukaryotic large subunit ribosomal RNA", at positions 364 to 1006 of the family's 3401-position model. Lineage: Eukaryota; Bacillariophyta; Bacillariophyceae; Bacillariales; Bacillariaceae. The record is from RNAcentral.